This 28-nucleotide small RNA is filed under the name Bombyx mori (domestic silkworm). Its description in RNAcentral is "ovarian small RNA-7195". Lineage: Eukaryota; Metazoa; Arthropoda; Insecta; Lepidoptera; Bombycidae. The record is from RNAcentral.
UCCAGUCCGCGGAAAGAGAUUGUGUCGC